CAUGUGAAGGAGAAAUCCCAAAGUAUGCACUGACCAGGGGGCACGGAUGUGCCGGUUUGUCUUGGUCUGUACUGAUCGCAUGGGUAGAUUCAUUCGCUACCACCAGGCUCGAGAGUUUUUAUUUAUUUCUUUAUCCAAAGAAAAUAUGAAUAAGCCAUAAUGACCGAAUAUGUAUGAAAGAAUUGAUACCAAAGGUUCAAUUAUUAUUUUUAUUCUUUAUAAGUCAGUAUGCUUGUAUGAAUAUAAAUCAUUUCAACAAAAAAUCAUAUUUUUUCAAUUGCUGGAAUGCUAUAUGUUAUAUUGAUGGAUUUUCAAUAUGUAUGAUAUAUUUUUGUAGACUUUUCUUCUCUAAAAUGUUUUUGUAGAAACAUAUGUUGAGUAAAAUUGAAACAAUCGUCUAUUGUGACCCAAUAGGUUUCAGCACAUGAAAUACAUAGUAGAUAUUACUGAUAUAAAUAUUGUAUUAUGAUAAUAUACUUGCAAUUGUCCAAAAAGAGUAAAUAUGGGAAAAGCCUCCAGUUUUGAGUUUUAUUUGUAAUCGACACAAUGCGUAAACCAUUCGGUGUCAUACUACAAUGACACUUACAAUCCUAGACAAAUUUUCAAAGGUAUCUUGAUAUUAAAGUUAAUCAAUUGUAAAUGAUGGGGAAAUUUGUUAUAUCCGCCUUCGUUGAACUAAAGUUGGUUUGUCCAUUACACACAUUCUAUUUAUAGAUUCUUGAUCAUACAGGAGCAAUACAUAUUAUAUAAAGACAUUGGGCAAAACAAAUAUUAAUUAAAACGAGAUUGACAUUGAUUUUCAUCAAAUCAGUCAGAUUUUUGCCGCAAGAAAAAUAGAUAAAAAGAUAAAUCUGCAAGCAAUGAAAUCUUUAACUAUGACCUACCUACUUAUUAGCCUUGUUACGCUUCAUAUGGUGGCAGAAAUUGCUGGAAGACCUCGCAUGAACUGUUGCCUCAUCAGGAGAUGUCCAAGAGGAAGACUGUGUACCAAUAUUGGAUCCCGAUGCCGGUGCAAAAGCAAUCGUGUCAUUACGGCUUUUCUAUUGCUCAAGCGUCGGUCUUCGGAUAAUAGCAGAGAGGAUACAGGUUCGAUCCCUGGUUAAACAUAAAAAAACGACGAAUCUGGGAAAUCGGAAGUUUCUAGGAGCAAAAGUAAACAAAUAAUGUUAGGUGAAAAUUUCAGACUCUUAUCAGUCGAGUCUGUUCGUGAGAGAUGACGGACAAUGCAAUUUCUUUUGUGCCAGCUAGCAACGCCAUUUCUAUGCAAAUAAUUCUGCUUUUUAUACCUUGGAAUUCAAUACGAUAGAAAUAUAAACUAAUUUACAAACAGUUAAAAAGAAAAAGAGAAAGAUUUUACACUCAGAUAGGUUGCUAAAUCCCAAGUCCAGUUAAUCAGAAAGUUUAAUUUUUGCUUAUUGGAUUAAAACAUAAAAAUACAUUAAAAAACUCUUGUUUUGAACUAUAUCCUGUGAGUACAUAUGUUGAAAAAGUUGAAUGUCACAAGACUAGAAUUUUUAUGUAGAUAGGCAUCUUAAAUGGAAUAUCCAUAUAGAAAAGACAAGUUCAAAUAUUACUGUAAAAAACACUGCUUAAAAGGAAAUAAUAUUACCCCACUUUAUAAAAUGAAAACCAGCUAUUUAUUACAAUCAUCAUCAUUACGAGGGCUGUUCGAAAAGUAUCCGGAAAUGCUCCAUUUUUUUUCAUUUGUGUUCUCGCAUUAUUAUUAUUAUUAUUACUUUAAUUAUUAUUAUUGUGUGUUUUCUUAUUUUGAUGGGAGAGGGGAUGGUAUUAAAUCUGGUGGUCUAAAUUAAUUCUUGCAAAAUAUACAUCAAGUAAAAUUUAUUUUCGUAACUAAAAUGUAUAUUAUGUAAAACCCUAUCAGACUGAUGUAUCUAACAACUGGGAUCAUUCAUCUAUAUUGACACUGCAGACCCUUAAGAUAACACAACAUAUGAACAAUAAUUGCUCCGUCUUUUAGCAUAACAUUAAAUGAAUGGAAUAACGUAUUUCGUGAAAUUUAGUCAAAUAUAACGAAUACGUAUUUCACGACUCACACUGGGUGCCUGUUAGAAACUUUAAUGAAUAUCUUUGAUUUGCAAUAUAGUUUUGAAUUUUAUUGCCUUUUACUUGCAAAAUUUUUUUCUUUGUAAUUUUUGCAGACCUUUAAUGUUUAUUGAAGAACGUCACGUUGUUUAUAAAGAAAAAGGUUUAAAACUUUUGUUUUAUGAUUUGUCUAAAUACGUAUGCUAGAAAAAUAGACGAUCAAAUUGAUGACAUGACCACGGAUCAUUUAUUAGCAAUAUAACGAAUGAGACAAAUGAUGUAAUUUUACAAUAUGAUAUGGCUAAUUUAAAUAAAGGACACUUGAAGUUUCAGUUUCAUUUAGAUAAUACAAGAUCACAAUCCCUAGUUCUCCCAAGCCUAAACAUAUGUGAUUUGUAUAACCACAAUUAAUUUUUUAAAUGUGGAUCGUUAUUAUUCUUUUAAAUUACACUUAUAUGUGAUAUUGUGUUUGCUCAAAUGACAUUAACUAAGAAUGGCAAUAAACUUUUUUGUUGUUGAUAUUUUCCAUGGUAUGUAAAGUUAUUAAAACAGGAGAGAGUUUCACUCAAUCCUUUCACAUGUAUGAUUGUUUAUAUUAUUGUUUAUAUUACAUGUAUAUAUGUAUUAUAUAAGUAAAAAUGUUUUAACCAA
Ruditapes philippinarum (Manila clam) is the source of this 2694-nucleotide long non-coding RNA. RefSeq lists it as uncharacterized. The transcript is spliced from 2 exons. The record is from RefSeq and is a predicted model, not a curated record. Lineage: Eukaryota; Metazoa; Mollusca; Bivalvia; Venerida; Veneridae.